GGCGGCGUGCUUAACACAUGCAAGUCGAGCGGUAAGGCCCUUCGGGGUACACGAGCGGCGAACGGGUGAGUAACACGUGGGUAAUCUGCCCUGCACUCUGGGAUAAGCCUGGGAAACUGGGUCUAAUACCGGAUAUGACACCUUUGGGCAUCCAGGGUUGUGGAAAGUUCCGGCGGUGCAGGAUGGGCCCGCGGCCUAUCAGCUUGUUGGUGGGGUAAUGGCCUACCAAGGCGACGACGGGUAGCCGGCCUGAGAGGGCGACCGGCCACACUGGGACUGAGACACGGCCCAGACUCCUACGGGAGGCAGCAGUGGGGAAUAUUGCGCAAUGGGCGAAAGCCUGACGCAGCGACGCCGCGUGAGGGAUGACGGCCUUCGGGUUGUAAACCUCUUUCAGCAGGGACGAAGCGCAAAGUGACGGUAGGUACAGAAGAAGCACCGGCCAACUACGUGCCAGCAGCCGCGGUAAUACGUAGGGUGCGAGCGUUGUCCGGAAUUAUUGGGCGUAAAGAGCUCGUAGGCGGUUUGUUGCGUCGGCUGUGAAAACUCGGGGCUUAACUCUGAGCUUGCAGUCGAUACGGGCAGACUUGAGUUCGGCAGGGGAGACUGGAAUUCCUGGUGUAGCGGUGAAAUGCGCAGAUAUCAGGAGGAACACCGGUGGCGAAGGCGGGUCUCUGGGCCGAUACUGACGCUGAGGAGCGAAAGCGUGGGGAGCGAACAGGAUUAGAUACCCUGGUAGUCCACGCCGUAAACGUUGGGCGCUAGGUGUGGGGUCCNUUCCACGGGUUCCGUGCCGUAGCUAACGCAUUAAGCGCCCCGCCUGGGGAGUACGGCCGC
Molecule: ribosomal RNA, 837 nt
Filed under: Streptoalloteichus sp. IM-5630
Lineage: Bacteria; Bacillati; Actinomycetota; Actinomycetes; Pseudonocardiales; Pseudonocardiaceae
Description: bacterial SSU rRNA
Rfam family: Bacterial small subunit ribosomal RNA
Source: RNAcentral